UUAAAAUAGAGAUGCAUUAUAAUGGUUAUAAUUAUUUUAGUUUUCCAAUCCUAAAUUGUUCAACAUUGGUUCUCCUGUAUGUUUUUCUUUAGACGCCCUCCUGCAAAACGGCCCAACUACGUUAAGCUUGGCACUCUGGCACCUUUCUGCUGUCCCUGGGAGCAGUUAACUCAAGACUGGGAGUCAAGAGGCCAGGCCCACGAAGAACCUUCUGUAGCUUCAUCUCCAAAUGGUAAGGAGAGUGACCUAAGAAGAUCUGAGGUGCCUUGUCCUCCCAUGCCUAAAAAAACUCCUCAGCCAUCUGAUGAAGUGGGCACAUCCAUAGAGCACCCCAGGGAGGCAGAGGAGGUAAUGGAUGCAGGGUGUCAAGAAUCGGCAGGGCCUGAGAGGAUCACAGACCAGGAGGCCAGUGAAAACCAUGUUGCUGCCACAGGGAGUCACCUCUGCGUUCUCAGGAGUAGAAAAUUACUGAAGCAACUGUCAGCCUGGUGUGGGCCCAGUUCUGA
RNAcentral lists this small RNA (506 nucleotides) under Pan troglodytes (chimpanzee). RNAcentral's name for it is "retained intron". Lineage: Eukaryota; Metazoa; Chordata; Mammalia; Primates; Hominidae. The record is from RNAcentral.